ACGAACGCUGGCGGCAUGCCUCACACAUGCAAGUCGAACGAUGCUUUCGGGCAUAGUGGCGCACGGGUGCGUAACGCGUGGGAAUCUGCCCUUGGGUUCGGAAUAACAGUGAGAAAUUGCUGCUAAUACCGGAUGAUGUCUUCGGACCAAAGAUUUAUCGCCCAGGGAUGAGCCCGCGUAGGAUUAGCUAGUUGGUGGGGUAAUGGCCUACCAAGGCGACGAUCCUUAGCUGGUCUGAGAGGAUGAUCAGCCACACUGGGACUGAGACACGGCCCAGACUCCUACGGGAGGCAGCAGUGGGGAAUAUUGGACAAUGGGCGCAAGCCUGAUCCAGCAAUGCCGCGUGAGUGAUGAAGGCCUUAGGGUUGUAAAGCUCUUUUACCCGGGAUGAUAAUGACAGUACCGGGAGAAUAAGCUCCGGCUAACUCCGUG
This 432-nucleotide ribosomal RNA is filed under the name uncultured bacterium. RNAcentral describes it as "partial 16S ribosomal RNA". It matches the Rfam family "Bacterial small subunit ribosomal RNA", at positions 29 to 507 of the family's 1533-position model. The record is from RNAcentral.